This 1590-nucleotide unclassified non-coding RNA is filed under the name uncultured fungus. RNAcentral's name for it is "sequence contains 18S rRNA gene, ITS1, 5.8S rRNA gene, ITS2, 28S rRNA gene". The stretch from base 561 to 1590 matches the Rfam family "Eukaryotic large subunit ribosomal RNA", at positions 1 to 961 of the family's 3401-position model. Lineage: Eukaryota; Fungi. The record is from RNAcentral.
GGAUGGAUCAUUACCAAAGAUUUUUCAAAGUCUUGUGAACUGUUUUGACUACACUGUUGGGGUGCUAUAUUUGGACUCACGUCCAGGUUGACCACCUCGACGGUACACAUACACGUAUAUAAACUCAACCUGACGUCUACGCUUUAGUAGUAAAUCAAACUAAAGACAACUUUUAGCAACGGAUCUCUUGGCUCUCGCAACGAUGAAGAACGCAGCGAAAUGCGAUAAGUAAUGUGAAUUGCAUGCACCGUGAAUCAUCAAAUCUUUGAACGCACAUUGCACUGCCUGGAAUUCCGGGCAGUAUACCUGUUUGAGUAUCAGUAACACUCUACCAGGGUGUCCUCUCACGAGACCCUUGGUAGGACUUGAGCGACCGUUCUCGCAAGGGAGCGCCGCUUUAAAUGCAUUUGAGUUGAUCCAGGCCAAAACUUGGAGAAGACCGACAGAGUUAAUGGGUCUCACGACCUUGAUCUGAAGGGAAUCCCCAAGCCAGUCAACCUGUGAUGGCUCACUAAACACACCAUACGGGUGGGCUCUUUAUUGACCCCAGCCCGUGCCCUUGAUCUCAAAUCAGGUAAGAUUACCCGCUGAACUUAAGCAUAUUAAUAAGCGGAGGAAAAGAAACUAACAAGGAUUCCCCUAGUAAUGGCGAAUGAAGCGGGAACAGCUCAAAUUUAAAAUCACCUCGGUGAAUUGUAGUUUAAAGAAGUGCUUUCGCUGGUAGUCCGGGUACAAGUCCCUUGGAAUAGGGUAUCAUAGAGGGUGAGAAUCCCGUCUCUGAUCCGGAUACUACCGCAAUGUGAUGCACUCUCAAAGAGUCGGGUUGUUUGGGAAUGCAGCCCUAAGUAGGUGGUAUAUUUCAUCUAAAGCUAAAUACAGGCGAGAGACCGAUAGCGAACAAGUACCGUGAGGGAAAGAUGAAAAGAACUUUGAAAAGAGAGUUAAACAGUACGUGAAAUUGCUAAAAGGGAAACGCUUGAAAUCAGUGUUGGCGUGAGGAAAUCAGCUGCUUAGCAAUAGGCGGUGCACUUUUCUUACGCCAGGUCAACAUCAGUUUUGGUUUGGGUAAACUAGCGCAGGAAGGUGACUCCCUCGGGAGUGUUAUAGCCUGCGUGAAUGCCUGGACUGGGACUGAGGACUGCAGCGCAUGCCUUUAGGCUGGCAAACCGUGUACUACUUGUGGGCUCCUUGCUGACAGCGUGCUGACUGUAAGGUGAACGCGAGUACUUGCGCGGCUAGUACAAAUGCGCUAAGGAUGUUGACGAAAUGGUUUUAAGCGACCCGUCUUGAAACACGGACCAAGGAGUCUAACACAUAUGCGAGUAUUUGGGUGUCAAGCCCAUAUGCGUAAUGAAAGUAAAGUAGGUGGGAUCCCGCAAGGGUGCACCAUCGACCGGUCUUGACCUUUUGAGAUAGAUCUGAGUAAGAGCACAUGUGUUAGGACCCGAGAGAAGGUGAACUAUGCCUGAAUAGGGCGAAGCCAGAGGAAACUCUGGUGGAGGCUCGUAGCGGUACUGACGUGCAAAUCGUUCGUCAAAUUUGGGUAUAGGGGCGAAAGACUAAUCGAACCUUCUAUUAGCUGGUUCCCUC